AACAGGGAUAAGCUCAGCAUGGAAAUUGGGGCCUCUGGCCUUGAAUUGUAGUCUUGAGAUGUGCUACCAACGGAGGCGCAGAUGUAAGCCUCUUGGAAAAGAGCGUCAGGGAGGGUGAGAGUCCCGUAUGUCAUCUGCAGUUCUCUGUGCACGGUACAUUUUCCAAGAGUCACGUUCCUCGGGAUUGGAGCGCAAAUUGGGUGGUAAAUUUCAUCUAAAGCUAAAUAUUGGUUCGAGACCGAUAGCAAACAAGUACCAUGAGGGAAAGGUGAAAAGGACUUUGAAAAGAGAGUUAAAAGUGCCUGAAAUUGCUGAAAGGGAAGCGAAUGGAACCAGUUGUUCUUGGCGAGUAUUGGUGUUGUCUAAAGUGAGGGCUUGCCACUUCAGCGCAAGUGUGGUGGCCAGGUUUUGAUCUGGAUGCGA
This 423-nucleotide ribosomal RNA is filed under the name Karenia selliformis. Its description in RNAcentral is "eukaryotic LSU rRNA". It matches the Rfam family "Eukaryotic large subunit ribosomal RNA", at positions 96 to 521 of the family's 3401-position model. The record is from RNAcentral. Lineage: Eukaryota; Dinophyceae; Gymnodiniales; Kareniaceae.